This 73-nucleotide transfer RNA is filed under the name Felis catus (domestic cat). It matches the Rfam family "tRNA". Rfam says of the family: Transfer RNA (tRNA) molecules are approximately 80 nucleotides in length. Their secondary structure includes four short double-helical elements and three loops (D, anti-codon, and T loops). Further hydrogen bonds mediate the characteristic L-shaped molecular structure. tRNAs have two regions of fundamental functional importance: the anti-codon, which is responsible for specific mRNA codon recognition, and the 3' end, to which the tRNAs corresponding amino acid is attached (by aminoacyl-tRNA synthetases). tRNAs cope with the degeneracy of the genetic code in two manners: having more than one tRNA (with a specific anti-codon) for a particular amino acid; and 'wobble' base-pairing, i.e. permitting non-standard base-pairing at the 3rd anti-codon position. Lineage: Eukaryota; Metazoa; Chordata; Mammalia; Carnivora; Felidae. The record is from Rfam by way of RNAcentral.
UCCUGGCUGGCUUAGUUGGUAGAGCAUGUGACUCUUGAUCUUGGGGUUGUGAGUUCAAGCCCCACGUUGGGUG